CUCGAGUGGCGAACGGGUGAGUAACACGUGAGUAACCUGCCCUUGUACGUUUGGGAUAACUUCAAGGAAACGUGGGGCUAAUACCGGAUAGGAGCUCCUGCUGCAUGGUGGGGGUUGGAAAGUUUCGGCGGUUGGGGAUGGACUCGCGGCUUAUCAGCUUGUUGGUGGGGUAGUGGCUUACCAAGGCUUUGACGGGUAGCCGGCCUGAGAGGGUGACCGGCCACAUUGGGACUGAGAUACGGCCCAG
This 247-nucleotide ribosomal RNA is filed under the name uncultured bacterium. RNAcentral's name for it is "partial 16S ribosomal RNA". It matches the Rfam family "Bacterial small subunit ribosomal RNA", at positions 90 to 334 of the family's 1533-position model. The record is from RNAcentral.